This is a long non-coding RNA of Chelonia mydas (Green sea turtle), 8710 nucleotides long. RefSeq lists it as uncharacterized. The transcript is spliced from 3 exons. Lineage: Eukaryota; Metazoa; Chordata; Testudines; Cheloniidae. The record is from RefSeq and is a predicted model, not a curated record.
CGUACUGCAUGACAGACAAAGAAAAAAAGGUCAGAAGGCCAGUCGUAACCGGAGGUUAGAAUGGGGGAAGGUCCAGCACAUGGAACUGGGCAGUGCUAAAUCUAUGGAUUUCAAAUAAACAGGACCCAAAAAAAAAAAAAAAAAAAAAAGGAGGGGAGAGGGUGAAGAUCUGUAAAAAUACAUUUCCCCAAUAGGCCCUCAAAACGGAUUAAUUCUGGAUCCUUGAAAAGCAUCCUUGUGGAGGGAAGUAGGUAAAAGCAGCGUAGGUUGCUUUGGAGUGACGCUCAAAAUAAACACGUUGCUGAAAAGUUUCCUGCUUCAAUAUGUCUCCACAGCAAAAGUUAAAAUGAGGACACCUAUUAUUAACACGGGGAUUAACACAGGCUCCUGGUUUAAGCACAAUCUGAAAAUUGGGAAUUCCCAUGUGGAGGAAAAACGUGAGUUAAAGCAGUUAGUUAAUUUUAAGAUAUCCUGUUUUAAACCUUCCGACUGUUAAGAAGGAAAGUACACAAGUAUCAAUGAUCUGAUGUUGUCCAAAGUUUAAUAACAAAAGAGUCGAUUUUUGGUUUACAGCUAUUAUGUACAAGCUACUUCAUUGUCGAUUUGCUGCAGAUGUGUGCAUGUGCUACUGAAAGUUUUGAAUUUUAAGUAUAUUCUUUGUUAAACAUUAAAAACCGAAAGUUAAAGUGGCACUUAAGGAUAAGAGGAAACUGCCACUUUUAAUCUAUUAAAAGCAAAAGUGUGAAUAAAUUGUUUUUAAAAACUCUGACAAUUGCUUGAACUGAAAGAGUAAAGGCAAGUUUGUCAGUACAGCAACUUUCUUUUACAAACUGUACUUUGAGGGACAGUACACAAAUUAUUGCAAGCAAACUUAAUUUUAUGUCGUUUUUCUUUUAAAAACUCUAUUCAUUACAUGGUAAUUGUCCCUCACAAUAUUUUCAUCGCAUCUCAAUGUAUCUGAUAAGUCUAGAAAAAAUAAUAAUAGUAAAAAAUAGUAAUAAAUAGUCAUAAUAUCUGUGAAAAUUAUUUCUGCCAAUUCAAAUUUAAAUAUGCAACUAUUUUUAAAUGAACGUCUGACUACAGCACUUGCACAUUUGUGAUGGCAAAAAGUUAUGUUUACUUAAAGUUUAAUAAGUUAUCUUUGAAAAGUGAAGAUGUAUGUCAUCACUAACGUUAAAUGCUAAAUUAAAAUGUUCAAAGACACCUUAGUUAAAUAUUUUAAACGCUGGUGACUUUAAAACGACAUUGUAUUCUUAGCAGUAUAGCUGUAAUACUGAUAAAUAGAAACACUUGUAUUUUCAGUUACAUGCCUGUAUAUCAUUACUUUAUAGAAAGUUUGCCUCUUCCGUGAGGUGUCUGUGAUAGGAAUUGAUAGAAUCAAGAAAUUGACAAUAUAUAUAUAUAGGUUUGAGCCAAAGAAGAGGUGGGAAAAAACUUUUUCGCAGCGUCUCUGUCAGCCACGUUUCAAUAUUAUUUCACAUUUAAAUUCCAUUUUUUUAAUACGUACCCUUUGCGCCAUCGGCCUGGCUUGCUCCCUUCCUACUUCAACUUCUAAUAUAUCCUCUUUAAGGCCAGUGUGAAAAGAAACAAACGCGAACUCUCCCCCAAACCCCCAAAAAUGCAAAAAUCCCUUAGAGUCGCCAGCAAUGUGAGCAAUCGAGGAAAAUCUUCAGCUUACUGGAUCUCAAAGAAACGACACAAUAAUUCAGCAUUAAAAAAAAGAGAGAGAGAGAGACUCGCCCUCCUUCUCUUUCUUUCUCUCUCUCACUCUCCCCCUUUCGUUUCCAAGACAGCAGCGGGGAGAAAGCAAAUAUCCUUUCCCCAAUCAGUUUUUUUUUUUUUUUUGGUUUAAAAAAAAAAAGUGCCCCUCAAACCCAACUACCAAGUCUCAUGGCUUUUUGCCACUCCAGCUGUCAAUCAAAGGCGAGGUUGUCAAGGUGGUGAAUGAAUGAUGAUGAUCCGCUGUGUGUACUUCCACUGCUCUGGACACCUCAAAUGUUAAUAUUCAAAUGCAUGGAGGUCUAAGCGCUGGCUUGUUCUUGAAUCAGUCCUAAUUCCUAAUCAGAUCUCGCUCGCGCGCUCCCUUUCCCCCUUUGCAGCGGGAGAGGCUAGAGGAAGAGGGUUAAAAAUGUCUGUCUGAGUUUGUCUUAAAGGAGCCACGAUCGAUGCUGCCUGCUGCAAGUCCCCCGUGCGUGUGUAAAGUGUGUGUUGCACAGGCGGAGAGGUGGAUUUGGACCAGAAUGCUGGAACCCGGAAGUAGUGGUGGCCAUAACAGGUCGCGUCUUACACAAUGCACUGGGCUGCAUCAACUCGGCUCCUAGCGCAGGGGUGGGUUGGGUGAGAUGCAAGCAAAGAGGCUGUGCGAGCCACAGAAGCGUUCAAUUAACAACACACACACACACACACACACAGGGUUAGUUACUAAAAUAGAUUGUAAUUCUGGUGUGUGGCUGGGCUCUUAGCUAUUUUAAGAGCUCCCUGUAAGCAGAGUUCAUUGCUGCCGGCCAAAUUAUGGGGUAUUGCAGGGUUGGGUGGUUUUUUGUUUGUUUGUUUGUUGGUUGGUUUGUUUUGUAGAGGGCAGGAUUUGUUUCUGUCCCCUUUUCACACCGAAUGCUUUGGGUAAUUGUUUGCAGCCUUUGCCAAGAUCUGAGCUGGCUCACAUGAGUUAUGUGAAGAAGAGAGGAGCAAUGGUUAAAGAGACAACAUCCAUCCUUCUUCCCAGAGCCCUGCAAGCACAUCCAGUACUCCAGCGUUUCUAAGUGUGAGAGCAAAACUAGGAGAUGACCCAGAGCGUCUGCUUCUGGACACUGGCUUGUUUUUAUUGCGAAUACUGUUACCGAAGUGAUUGGCAAGACCGAGGGCAGGAAGACAGAACGCAGGAGAGCUGUCUGUUAUAUGUUCUCUCGCGCGCUCAGCUCGUGUCAUACGCAGCAAUCCACGCCACUUCUGCCUAGCCGCCUCGGAGUGAAAUGGCCAUUUCCUUUGUCUAAUAGCAAUGGUUACUUUGUAUUUACACCCUCGCUAUACGGCAGCGCUCUAAAGGAUCAGCAAUCUCUUCCCCCCCUCUCCCUCCACCGGAGGACUUUCAUUCUUUUUUGUAUCCAGAGCAAGCAGUCUUUCCCCCCCAGCUAACUCCCCGCAACGAAAGUAAAUCUAUUAGAGCGAAGUUGAGGUUUAGAAGGAAAGCACCAAAACGCACUUCGGAUGAGCCGGGCUCAUUUGCUAGAAUUUAUUCGGUGCCCAUGUAACUCUGAGCAGAUGUUCCACACAGACAGUAGUUGAUUCAAAUAUGCAACAUCUUUCAGAGCAGAGAUCCGUGAGACGGGCUUUUUUUUAUUCCUCUCUCUCUCUCUCUCUCUCUCUCUCUCUUCCCCCUCCCCCAAGCUCCAAGUCUCUCAGAAAACUCCCCCUGCGGUAUGUUGGAAAAUGAGCUCACCCAAAUCUCAGUAGGCAGCAGUGGAGGAGCCGCAGGCCAAUCAGGAGCUUGUCUUCGAAAGCCAGCCGUGCAUUGGUGGAGGGGAAAAUCAAUUAUCAAAUAAUCGAUCAGCAGGGAGCUUCGAUCUGCGGGGAGUGCCAAAAAACUCUCCCUCGGAACAGAGAGGCUAAGUUCUCCAAAGCAGAAAGAUUGCUCACUUGUUCUGCUUAGCCAUAGUACAAGCUGCUGCCUAGGGGCAGACAUAAACAUACCCUGCAAGGGGAAUAAAAGACACCCUUCACUCUCUCUCUUUCUCUCUCUAUAUAUACAGGGAGAGAGAGAGAGAGAGAGAGAAAAGUACUUUUAAAAAGUUAAGGUACGAUAUAUUUAUGUCAACACGAUGUUACGGAGCUUGAUAUGUGAACUCAGCAGGCUGACAGCUUAUACUGACACAGCAAGGCAUUCAGUGCCAGCGUUUACUGUUUACAACACACACGUUUGUGAACUCGAGGCAUCUUCAGCAGUGUUCCUUGCAUGCAGUGGUCCAUACACGUCAUGUAAUGACCGUACUUUUGAUUGUUUGGGGUAAGGACGAUCACUUUUUCCUGUGGCAUUACAGCUGCAACUUUUGACUUAACAGCAGAACCUGAAAUAGUAAGAACGAUCACUAAGAAGUGGUCUUCUCGUUAGUGUUUACCGGGAAAUAGUCUGAUUUCUUUCAAUUUCUCGAUUAAAAAAAAAGAACUCUAUGCUUAUGAUUUAUUAUUAUGGCAAUUUUAUGUUUGCUUUUGGGAUGCUCAGGCAGUAAGUCUUAAACAGAGAUAAAUCACAUACGAUUUCUGCCAGGCCAAAGUCUGAAAUGUAAUGUUAACAGACGGAAUUCCCAGCAUCAACAUAAUCCCUGCCUGCGAUCUAAAUCUUCUCUUAAAGUAUAUUUUAGGGGGCAAAACAGAUUUAAACUCACUUUAAAAAACAAACCAGAACCAAGGACUUUUCUGAAGCUGUAAUUGCAGCGACGACGCAAAAUAAAACAGUAUUUUUAUAGGGAUUGCUAUUGAGAGAGCUCUAGUAUUCCCUAAACCGUCUCUUUUCUCUGCAGGAGAGUGCAGUUGUUUCAUAUUCUACCUGUGUGAUUAUUCAAAUGAUCCGCCGGCUAGGUGUUUCAAAUUUGUCUCAGAAAGGAAAGAUCUGUCAUCGAUCAGAUCAGUUCAGUAGGGUGGGAAAAAAGUGCCAAAUCAAACAUUAAAAUAUUCACACAUAGGGCUCAACGAUCCUUAAAUGAGCUGCAUGGGGCGGGUUAUCCGAGUAAAAUCUACAAAAUAGAAAUUACUGUGAAAUGCACUUGGGUAAAGCUGCUUUUUAACAGCUUUGAGGGACCAUGGAGGAGACAGAUCAGAACAAUUUGAAGCGUGCAGAUACUCUUUAGUCCAUCUCUUGCCGUGACAUUUCAAACCUCAAGAAAACCAGUUUCGAUUUCCCCCCCCCCUUUGCUGUAGGACAAACCUUCUAUGCCAGCGAUGAAUAUAAAGACUUUUCAGGUAAGACUAUUUUAAUACCCUAACCCUUCCUCUUCUCAGUAUUGGGAAGUAUUUGUUGUGCUCUUAACAGACGUAUGUUUGAUUUCUAUAUUUAUUUAACUCAGAGACUGAAUUCAGAAGCGAUUCCCUGUCUUACAGGUUCCUUUCAAAGGAGGAUACAGUUUAAAUUCCAGAAAUGCAAUGCCUCUUAAAAAUAAAAAAGCUUUAAACCUUAAAUCUAGCGUCACUACCAGGCCUUUAUGAGAAUAAUUCAGAACAAUCGGGGCUAGAACACUUUUACAAUGUAAUUACAGUAGUACAAAUUGUUUGCCCAAACCUCAUUCUGGAUAAGGAUUUUACAAUUAGCAAACAGUUAUUACUGUUGGGGCUUGCUGCGAGAAAUUGCACUGAGGACGUCUCGAGUUGCAAUCUACUGGCCAUAAAAAGACUAACCAGGCAGCAAUUAAUCAUCUAUUAAAAGGGAAAAGUAAACGGACAGUUCCACACUAUCUUAGUAAACUACCAACGACAUUUAUGUGUUCUGUGACUACAGCGACGCACACAUUCCCAACUACUGCCUUUUUAGGAAAUGUAGCUAUUUUUUGCCAAAACUAGGGGUCUGAUUGCUAUUUGUUCCGGGAACCCAUUUACACUUGCCAUUGUACUAUGGAAAAGAAGCUGUGGGCGUCCCUCGAAUUUUACAGCGAAAUGUGCAAUUAGACAGAAAAUAGGCAGAAUUGCGUACUGGAUGUAGAUCUGACUUUCGCUUUUUCCUUGUAACUGUGUUUAACAGAUUUAGCAUUUAAGAAGACGUGUUUUGCUUUGGAGCCUUGUCUGCACUACUUCUGUGAUGCCACGCCGACAAUCAUUUUACUUAUUCUUCACCUCAGAAUUUGCAAUUUGAACUUGUAUAAGCGAAGGCCUUUCACAUGAGGUAGAAGGAGAGGUCUCAAAGUUCAGAUGAUGAUUCAGAGCAAAAUGAUGAAGAAAGUCCUCCAUUAAGUGGAAUUUGUAUAUAUUUGCUUAUCAUGUAAUAAAUAAGACUUUAAAUCAGUCUGCAUUUCCUAGCUUAAGUACAUAAUUAAUUUUACCUAAUAGCAUUAAAAUGAGUACUAGUUUUCUGAUAACUUUUUAUAGUUUGACGGGAAGGGGCUUGCAGUUGGGAAAAAAUCAACAACAAUACAUACUCCUUCCCCAUUAAUAUUUACAUUUAAAAAUUCAAAUAAGGUCAAAAUCCCCGAAGAAAACAGAUUUUAAAUGCAGUAGAGAGAUAAUAAAGGAAUGUGGCAGAUAAGAGUUUCAAGUGAUAUGAGUCAAGAUACCAAAAAGUCAAAGCCUAAUGAAUGGCUGUGAGAAAGGUGAAGAACUAUUUAAAGAUCUAUUAAAGGGCAAAAUCUGAAAAGGUGAUAAUAAAAGGAGGUUAACUGGAGGGGAUUAAGUGAAGAUGUGAAUCAAGUGCCCAUGUGCAAGUAAAACUGUGGUUCAUGGAGGUUUGUUUACUGGAUUCUGCUUCAGAAAACAAAGAACGCCUGGUCCAGUUAGGAGUCAACCAGAGGUCAGCUUGUGCUAUCCAACAGUCAGAGACAAAAUAGUCAAGUCACUGUAUUCAGUAAACAGUCUGAAUGAAUAAUGGUAGAAAUGCACUUUGCGAAGGAAAGAACUGAUUUCAUUAGACUUUUCUAUUUCAGCUCUUUAGAGUAGCAUGGUACUUGAGGGGAGGAGUAAAAUGAAGGAGGGGGGGCACUACACUAUUUAACAUAAUUACCAGUUCUGACACUUUCAGAAAUUAUAGAGGUCUUUUAUUAAUUAAAUGGCGGGCUUAAUAAAAUAUUCAUAAUAAAAUUUACGGUUGACGUAAAACUUUCUAAACACUGCUGUAAAUUUUUAAUAAAUUAACUGAGAAAUGAGUUACUAGCCUUGGCUUUUGUCACUUAAACUUCUGCAUAAGUAGUGAAUGUAGAGUGACAGCAACGUGGGAACCUUUCAGAACCAAAAAUGUGUACAAUUACAAAGGGUUUUAGAUCUCGGAAAAGUCGCCCUCAGAUCUAGAGGAGAGUUGUCCAAGCUGAGGUUUCUCCCUCAUCCUUCCCUGCAAGAGAGCAGAGUGUACACCAUGCGCGCCUCAUCGUCCCAGAACACAGGGCCAGUCCUAGCCUGGGGACACAAGGAUUUCAGCAGCAUUUUUCCCUACGGGGCGGACUAAUUGUACAGAACCCCACCCCCUUUCAUUCCUCCCCACUUACUUGAGCACACGCAGCUGCAGUCACCCUUGUGGCUUGGAAGGAAAGGCGGCCUCCUGCACCAAGGCUGCAAGGCCAGUUCCCCAAGGCAGCAGCUGCGAGAGGGAGGGGGGCAGGCGGUGAAAGCUGCACUUUCCUCUGAGCAGAGUAGUGUUCCCUCUGAGGGGCCCCCAGCCCCAGGAGCCGGCUCCCAAGCCCUGGGCCUCCCGCAUGGAAGCAAUGUUGCCUCCUCCAUAGCCACUAAGCCAUCCGGGCAGGCAAGGUUUGCAGUUUUAACUCUGGCUAUUAAACCACGUUGUCCUUGUUAUAGUUCAAGGGGCCAGAUCCAUGUGUAGGAAUCAACUGUUAGCACCAAGCACAGAGGCUUACAGCAAGAGAUUUCAAAGGCGUGAUUUAGUUUGUGAUUAAGAAAACACCACAAGAUAACAGUGAUGAUUGUUUCAUUUAAAAAUCACAAAAAGCCCUGUCAUUCAGCGGGUGAGAAAGGGUAACAGAAUGGGAAGAUUCUACAAAGAAACACCUCGGAAGUGUGUUCGCUUUCAGUUUACUCUAUUGUAGACUAUUCAGUUUACCUAUAAUAUUUUACUCUGGUUAUGCUGGCUUCAUUCAAAAAGUAUUAUAAUUGCAUUUUACAGAAAACAUUCACUAUCUGUUUCUAACCCUAGACUUAGAAACUGAGCCAAGCCAGGAAGCAUAGAUCUCAGAUCAGAGCUAUAUUCAAACUUCCCAAAAUCUGGAAGUGGACAGAUCUACUUGGAAUCAUAGAAAUACCUAUUAGAGCAACCAGCUCAACUCCCUGCUAAUGCAGGAUUGUUUCCCAGCAUUUACUAGUGCUUUGUCCAGUCACUUAUUAAAUAGUCUGCUGAUGAGGUUUUCAUCACUUCCUGAGGGAGAUUAUUCCCCAACCUGUUUUAGGCUCAGAUUAUUAAAAGCUAUUUAGGCACUGUUGUGCUCAGCACCACAACACCUAACUGAGUGAGAAGCCUAAAUAUCAUGUUCAAAAGGGAUUUAGGUGCUUAGGAGUCUAAAUUCCAUCUACAAUGGCAUUUAGACUCCUAAGUACCUAAAUACCUUUUGAACAUGAUAUUUAGGCUCUUACGCCUAAAUACCUUUACAAAUCUGGGCCAGACUGUCAGGAAGACUUUACUUCUAACUACUCUCCCUUUUACCACCCUAGGCAUACACCUCCUCACACCCUUCCAAUAUUUAUAGAUGGUUUCCAGUCCCCACUUUGGCUGGUUUUUAGGACCAAAUUAGGUUUCCUCCUCCAGCUCCCUAAUUAUUUUUGGCCCUGUUUCUGUCAGAAAACUACCAAGUUUGACAAUGUCUGUCAAAUUCAAUGGUGGCCUAAUCUUAUAGCUACAGAUGGGCCUGAACUAUAACUGCCCAGCUAUCAUCAAUGGGGUCAACCUGUGUUAAUCAGUUUUUAAUCAAAAUGUGUUUUAGGGUCUGUCAUAAAUAUAAAGGGAAGGGUAAACACCUUUAAAAUCCCUCCUGUGGGCAGAGGAAAAACCCUUUCACCUGUAAAGGGUUAAGAA